AUUUUGACGUAGGCUGUCAAGGCAAAGAGAAGCAACGGUAUAUUCUUGAUAAAAAAUGUAAAAAAGGAAAAAUGCAAGAAAAAAAAACAACUCCAUUUGUUUGGCAGAAAAUAUUUUUCAAAAAAAAACAUUUUACACAUUUUUGUUAUUGGGACGUCUAAGAACAUUGGUCAAUAAAAAAUGUUUUUCUGGCCAAAAUGAGAAUAGAAUCUGAUUUCAAAAAUAGCAGUCAUUUUCUGACCUAUAGCCAUUAAUUUACUGAUUAUGUUUGGUGACAGCCACCGGUCACUUGUUAUUUUGAGUAUUGCAACCAAAUCAAAAAAACUUAAGUCAAUUGGGAAAUAUUAUUCAUAUAAAAGUUAUUUCCCACAAAAUAAACAGAGACUAAAGUGAACUACAUUUGCAUGAGCAUAACUACUAUCACCCUCGGCCUCUUCCAUACAAAACACGAUUUUAACCACUUUGACAUUUUCUCCCCAUUUUUUUUUGUGCUGAAUGCACAAUCCUGGACGUUGGCAGGCAACUAAUAAGACUAGCAAUCACAAUAAAAUCAAGAGAAUUGCCCUGAUAAAGAUACAAACAAAAGUCUACAAGAGAUUCUCCAAAACAUAAUUAAAAAAGUAUGAGAAAAGGUCAUACCAAAGCUG
This 647-nucleotide unclassified non-coding RNA is filed under the name Hevea brasiliensis (rubber tree). The record is from RNAcentral. Lineage: Eukaryota; Viridiplantae; Streptophyta; Magnoliopsida; Malpighiales; Euphorbiaceae.